Molecule: ribosomal RNA, 116 nt
Filed under: Labrus bergylta (ballan wrasse)
Lineage: Eukaryota; Metazoa; Chordata; Actinopteri; Labriformes; Labridae
Source: RNAcentral
GCUUACGGCCAUACCACCCUGAACACGCCCGAUCUCGUCCGAUCUCGGAAGCUAAGCAGGGUCGGCCUGGUUAGUACUUGGAUGGAGACCGCCUGGGAAUACCAGUGCUGUAAGCU